CGUUCCUACGGGGGGCAGCAGUGGGGAAUAUUGGGCAAUGGGCGCAAGCCUGACCCAGCAACGCCGCGUGAGGGAAGAAGGUUUUCGGAUUGUAAACCUCUGUCCUUGGUGACGAUAAUGACGGUAGCCAAGGAGGAAGCCACGGCUAACUACGUGCCAGCAGCCGCGGUAAUACGUAGGUGGCGAGCGUUGUCCGGAAUUACUGGGUGUAAAGGGAGCGUAGGCGGGAGAGCAAGUCGACUGUGAAAUCUAUGGGCUUAACCCAU
RNAcentral lists this ribosomal RNA (266 nucleotides) under uncultured bacterium. Its description in RNAcentral is "partial 16S ribosomal RNA". It matches the Rfam family "Bacterial small subunit ribosomal RNA", at positions 334 to 617 of the family's 1533-position model. The record is from RNAcentral.